GCAUGCCUACGGGGCGCAGCAGUGAGGAAUAUUGGUCAAUGGGCGGAAGCCUGAACCAGCCAAGUCGCGUGAGGGAAUAAGGCCCUACGGGUCGUAAACCUCUUUUGCCGGGGAGCAAGCGUGCGUUCGUGAACGCACGUCGAGAGUACCCGGAGAAAAAGCAUCGGCUAACUCCGUGCCAGCAGCCGCGGUAAUACGGAGGAUGCGAGCGUUAUCCGGAUUUAUUGGGUUUAAAGGGUGCGUAGGCGGGAUGCCAAGUCAGCGGUAAAAAUGCGGUGCUCAACGCCGUCGAGCCGUUGAAACUG
RNAcentral lists this ribosomal RNA (305 nucleotides) under uncultured bacterium. RNAcentral describes it as "bacterial SSU rRNA". It matches the Rfam family "Bacterial small subunit ribosomal RNA", at positions 333 to 635 of the family's 1533-position model. The record is from RNAcentral.